This is a long non-coding RNA of Trachemys scripta elegans, 1621 nucleotides long. RefSeq lists it as uncharacterized. The transcript is spliced from 4 exons. Lineage: Eukaryota; Metazoa; Chordata; Testudines; Emydidae. The record is from RefSeq and is a predicted model, not a curated record.
UGCUCCCUGAUUGGUUGGCUGCACUGUUGCGUGUUGCCGUUCCUGAGGUCCUGCGGUGGCGGUAGCAGGGCGAGGUGCUGGCUAGAGCCAGAGUAGCUCGAAUGCCAUUUCCGUAGCCUUUUGCCAGUCUGGAGUGACUCUGAAGAUGAGUCCUGGUCAACGUUGGACAGUGCCAAAAGGGAUGAGACUGCAGACCCAUGACAAAUGAGAUUUGGUGGUGGCCUCACAGCAAAAAUCUGAUCAAGAUGCCAUAACAGUAGAAGACGCACAGCUACUUAAAGGCAGCAAGUUAUCCAUCUGGAAUGAAUGACAAAGGAAAGUGAACGGAAGGACUUCAUCAGUCUCUGCAUGAAGAAAAAGAAAGUCUGUCCCAUGCUCUCCAGGACGGCACAUGGUGGUGGUGAGGCUAGAAGGGAAGAGUCUGGCCUGAAUGGAGCUAUUGGAGGAAGAAGAGUUUCAGCAGCAAGGCAGUGCUGUGCCCCAGCAGCAGAGGGAUAGCUCAGGAAUGGAAAGGGCUAUAAGUCAGGCCAUUUCUCCAGGGCUGCUUCAGGCACUCAGUAAAUGAUUCAGGUUCAUCUGUAGGUAUCAGUAAAGCACUUUAGUCAGGCUGAGGACCCAGGGAAGGUUUGUGUGGGAGUGCAAUUACAGGAAUUGGCUGCAUGUAUCCUCAGAGUUUCUGUGUAAGAAUUCAAAGUAAAGAUCACCAGAUCAUCUAGUUUGAUCUCCUAUACACCAUAGGCCACUGAACCCCACCCAAUCACCCCUGUAUUGAGCACAGUAACUUGGAUUAAACUCUCCUGGCCUGCCUAUUCUCAGCCUGUGGCACACAAUGGUUUAGUCUCCCCCUGGAAAUAGGCUGUCCAAGAGAGAAGUCUCUCAUGUAAUUGUGGGUUUGUGCAGCAUGUUUGGGUUGUACAAUAUCUGGAUGGUAAGGUAAGCAAACUGCUACUGUAGAUGGGAUUGUAAAUUUAACUGAUAAUGUGCUUGAUUCUUAGUGAUUGUGUCAGUGGAAUUUGCACCUGCCCAGCAUUAACUCAGAGGGCUAGAUCCUCAUCUAUGGCUGAGGAAAACUGGAGUGCAAAGUGUCUUUAAGCCACCAGUUCUAGGGCCUUUCUGUGUCAGGCCAAUCCUCUGCACAAGUUACAGCAGCUGUCAGGCUGUUCUUACUUGUAUCAACUGCCAACAGUCCCAAGGGGCCACUAUGUCAGUUGGGGAUUACUAGGGUACUUGGAAGCCCCCCAUCAUGUUCCUUCUGCCAGUAACAGGGAGGGGUAACUGUACAGGAAAUGGCUCUAAAAUAUCUGAUGGUCCUACACAGGGGAGCAUCUCCUGGGAAUAAGUAAGCUGGUUUUAGGAUACUCUUGUGCUGGUGGAUCAGCAGGAAGCUUCCUAAUUCAGCAACAGAUGUAAUCCUAGAUAACCAAUAUCAUUUUUUUGUGGGGGUGGGGAGUUAUGUACCUCAACCAUGACAUAAUUGUCUCUGCCUUUUUCCUUUGGGCAAACUACUGCAAUAAAUUAACACUAAAUCAAAUAUACAACCAAUAUCCUGUGUGUUGUAAAAUAUACCAUUUCUAGUUAGUUACACAUCUGCAUUCUGUGCAGGUACAUACAUCUGUUGCCU